GCUCCCCUCAGGUGUUGGCUUGUUCUUUGAGUGCUGCAGCUCCCCUCAUGGUUGUAAGAUGGCUGCUGAAGGUCCAGACAUCACAUCCAGACAUGAUGUAUCUGGAGGUUGAAGAGGGGCCAUCUCUUUCUAAUAGGAGACCCCAAAGACAGAAACUGCAUGUCUCCGGCACAGGAAAUCUCGUAUUGGUACCCGGUAGCUUCCAAUUGCAAGCACCUGAGACUAGACCUGGGGACUUUUUCUGGCUGCAGAGCCUGCUUCUGCAUGUGGAGCAUUCCAAAAGUGCCAGAGAGUGAAUGCUCCCAGGAGCAACCCUCAAACAAUGACUGGUGUGAGUCAGUGCAUAAAUACUUCCAACUCCCUUGCCCUUUAAGGAUAAACUCGGAAGUGUCUGUUCUCUACUGUCUCCCAGAGAUUUCCAGCAAGAUUGAUCUCCAGUUGCCUGAAGGGGUAACUGUCUUCGAUACAGUACACUUUCCCCCUAUCUUCCCUUUCUUGCCUGAUUUCCCCACUCCCAUACUGUUAUUCCUUGAGAUCAUCUUCCAAAUAAACUUAUAUUCAAAUCCUUUUCUUAGAGUCUAUAUCCAGGGGAACUCAAACUCAGAUAAUAGCCCUUGUUUUAAUGAUAAGGAUAGCACCAGUCCUUGCAAGGUUUCUUGGCUCUGAAGUGGUCUCCAUUCUCUCACCCCAUCCCCUUAACUCUGUCCUCAAUCAUAACCUCAUGUGUGUCUUUCACUUGGACCAUUCUGACAGUGGUUUCCCAUUCCCGUAAUUUCCCUCCUAUUGCUUCUCCAUGGGCAGCCUCAGUAACCUUCCUGUUAAGCAGAGAGCGCAUUAUUGCACACCUUCUACUGUGAUAUCUUCAGUGGCUUCCUAUCACCUGUAGCAUUAAGUCCCAACCCUCAGCUUGAUGUGUAAAGUCCUCUGUGAUCAUUCCUAAAUUCACCUUUCAGUCACUCCCAUUCUCCACUGCCUUCUCCCCAAAAUCUGUGCUCAUUUCUCCACCAUCUUCACUCCUGGGCACCAGUCCUCAUGCCUCACCAUUGUCCAUUAUGCUGUCUCCCACUUCCAGAAGUCACAGGUCCAUGAGCCAUCCUCCAAGGCUAGCUUAGAUGACCUCUGUGAAGCCUUCCUGAUCUCACAUUAGUCUUUGACUCUCCUAUAGUGCCUCAAACUUGGUGACUGCUGGUGGC
Camelus dromedarius (Arabian camel) is the source of this 1193-nucleotide long non-coding RNA. RefSeq lists it as uncharacterized. The record is from RefSeq and is a predicted model, not a curated record. The transcript has 3 exons. NCBI's taxonomy places the organism in Eukaryota, Metazoa, Chordata, Mammalia, Artiodactyla, Camelidae.